This 61-nucleotide ribosomal RNA is filed under the name Ptilotus spicatus. RNAcentral describes it as "partial 26S ribosomal RNA". Lineage: Eukaryota; Viridiplantae; Streptophyta; Magnoliopsida; Caryophyllales; Amaranthaceae. The record is from RNAcentral.
CUCCAAAGCAUCGCGCCGGUCAUCACGUGAUCUAUGUGGUCUCGGAAGACCCUUACUAACC